CCCCGGACGCCAACGUCUCGGACGGCAGGAGAGCCAAGAGGAACGGCCCGACCUCUGCGGACCUGGAGGUGCUCUACUGGAAGCAGAUGAAGGAGCGGGUGGCAGCGCAGAGGAAGCUGCAGCCCAGGGAGCCACUGCAGGCCGAGGAGGAGCCGGAG
This is a long non-coding RNA of Neopsephotus bourkii (Bourke's parrot), 158 nucleotides long. RefSeq lists it as uncharacterized. The record is from RefSeq and is a predicted model, not a curated record. The transcript is spliced from 3 exons. Lineage: Eukaryota; Metazoa; Chordata; Aves; Psittaciformes; Psittacidae.